GAUCCUUGGAUUCGUUCAAGGUGAAAGUGGCGAACGGGUGAGUAACGCGUUGGUGAUCUGCCCCGGAGUGGGGGAUAACUAUCGGAAACGAUAGCUAAUACCCCAGAUGUUAUCGUGUUUGGAAAGCGAUAACUAAAGUUCAGGCGCUCCGGGAGGAGCCUGCGUCCCAUCAGCUAGUUGGUAGGGUAAUGGCCUACCAAGGCUCAGACGGGUAGGGGGCGUGAGAGCGUGGCCCCCCACACUGGUACUGACACACGGACCAGAUGCCUACGGGCAGCAGCAGCUAGGAAUAUUGGGCAAUGGGCGAAAGCCUGACCCAGCAACACCGCGUGAAGGACGACGGCCUUCGGGUUGUAAACUUCUUUUCGAGGGAAUGAGAAAGGACAGUACCCUCGGAAUAAGGCCCGGCUAACUACGUGCCAGCAGCCGCGGUAAUACGUAGGGGCCAAGCGUUAUCCGGAUUUACUGGGCGUAAAGCGCAUGUAGGCGGUUGAUCAAGUCGGAUGUGAAAGCUCCUGGCUUAACUGGGAGAGGUCAUUCGAAACUAGUCGGCUGGAGGGUGGUAGAGGAGAGCGGAAUUCCAGGUGUAGCGGUGAAAUGCGUAGAUAUCUGGAGGAACACCAGUGGCGAAAGCGGCUCUCUGGACCAUUCCUGACGCUGAGAUGCGAAAGCCAGGGGAGAGAACGGGAUUAGAAACCCCGGUAUUCCUGGCCGUAAACGAUGUCAACUAGGCGUAGGAGGUUAUUAACCCCUUCUGUGCUGUAGCUAACGCGUUAAGUUGACCGCCUGGGGACUACGGCCGCAAGGCUAAAACUCAAAGGAAUUGACGGGUCCCCGCACAAGCAGCGGAGCGUGUGGUUUAAUUCGAGGCUACACGAAGAACCUUACCAGGG
This 893-nucleotide ribosomal RNA is filed under the name uncultured bacterium. RNAcentral's name for it is "bacterial SSU rRNA". It matches the Rfam family "Bacterial small subunit ribosomal RNA", at positions 69 to 979 of the family's 1533-position model. The record is from RNAcentral.